AGCUAGAGUGCCGUAGGGGUAGAGGGAAUUCCCGGUGUAGCGGUGAAAUGCGUAGAGAUCGGGAAGAACAUCGGUGGCGAAAGCGCUCUACUGGACGGCAACUGACACUCAGGGACGAAAGCUAGGGGAGCGAAUGGGAUUAGAUACCCCAGUAGUCCUAGCUGUAAACGAUGGAUACUAGGUGUAGCUUGUAUCGACCCGAGCUGUGCCGAAGCUAACGCGUUAAGUAUCCCGCCUGGGGAGUACGCACGCAAGUGUGAAACUCAAAGGAAUUGACGGGGGCCCGCACAAGCGGUGGAGUAUGUGGUUUAAUUCGAUGCAACGCGAAGAACCUUACCAGGGCUUGACAUGUCCGGAAUCCCGGUGAAAGCUGGGAGUGCCUUCGGGAGCCGGAACACGGGUGGUGCAUGGCUGUCGUCAGCUCGUGUCGUGAGAUGUUGGGUUAAGUCCCGCAACGAGCGCAACCCUCGUCUUUAGUUGCCAGCAUUAAGUUGGGCACUCUAGAGAGACUGCCGGUGACAAACCGGAGGAAGGUGGGGAUGACGUCAAGUCAGCAUGCCCCUUACGCUCUGGGCGUCACACGUACUACAAUGGUCGGGACAGAGGGCAGCGAACCUGCGAAGGCAAGCUAAUCCCAGCAAACUCGGCCUCAGUUCAGAUCGCAGGCUGCAACUCGCCUGCGUGAAGGAGGAAUCGCUAGUAAUCGUCGGUCAGAAUACGGCGGUGAAUCCGUUCCCGGGCAUUGUACACACCGCCCGUCACACCAUGGAAGCUGGCCACGCCCGAAGUCGUUACCCUAACCUUUCGGGGAAGGGGACGCCGAAGGCAGGGUUGGUGACUGGGUGAAGUCGUAACAAG
This 858-nucleotide ribosomal RNA is filed under the name uncultured organism. RNAcentral describes it as "bacterial SSU rRNA". It matches the Rfam family "Bacterial small subunit ribosomal RNA", at positions 639 to 1495 of the family's 1533-position model. The record is from RNAcentral.